GAUGAACGCUGGCGGCGUGCCUAAUACAUGCAAGUAGAACGCUGAAGGAGGAGCUUGCUCUUCUGGAUGAGUUGCGAACGGGUGAGUAACGCGUAGGUAACCUGCCUGGUAGCGGGGGAUAACUAUUGGAAACGAUAGCUAAUACCGCAUGACAACAGUUAUUGCAUGAUAACUGUUUAAAAGGGGCAACUGCUCCACUACCAGAUGGACCUGCGUUGUAUUAGCUAGUUGGUGAGGUAACGGCUCACCAAGGCGACGAUACAUAGCCGACCUGAGAGGGUGAUCGGCCACAAUGGGACUGAGACACGGCCCAGACUCCUACAAGAGGCAGCAGUAGGGAAUCUUCGGCAAUGGACGGAAGUCUGACCGAGCAACGCCGCGGGAGUGAAGAAGGUUGUCGGAUCGUAAAGAUCUGUUGUAAGAGAAGAACGAGUGUGAGAGUGGAAAGUUCACACUGUGACGGUAUCUUACCAGAAAGGGACGGCUAACUACGUG
RNAcentral lists this ribosomal RNA (495 nucleotides) under uncultured bacterium. RNAcentral describes it as "partial 16S ribosomal RNA". It matches the Rfam family "Bacterial small subunit ribosomal RNA", at positions 28 to 507 of the family's 1533-position model. The record is from RNAcentral.